GUUUGGUAGAUCGUAGGGAUUGUCGCUGGCCUUUGGAAACGAAGGCAUGUGCACGUUCCGAGUUCUCCUUAGUCCUCCUUUGCCUUUCCUUUGGAAAACCCUUUCUUCACACCCGUGCACCCAUUGUAGGUCUCCGCGAGGGGAUCUAUGUCUUCACACAAACACUACGUAUGUCUAGGAAUGUAUCUAAAAGCGUCGAACGGCUUGGCUUCGUGCCCGGUCGGCGACGGUAAAGAACCAUAAUACAACUUUCAGCAACGGAUCUCUUGGCUCUCGCAUCGAUGAAGAACGCAGCGAAUUGCGAUAAGUAAUGUGAAUUGCAGAUUUUCAGUGAAUCAUCGAAUCUUUGAACGCACCUUGCGCUCCUUGGUAUUCCGAGGAGCAUGCCUGUUUGAGUGUCAUUUAAUUCUCAACCAUCCCUCGAUUCGUUUCGAGGGUUUGGCUUGGAUUUUGGGGGCUGCCGGGCGACCCUAGGGUCUUCGGCUCUCCUUAAAAGCAUUAGCGAUGGCGGCGCGAUCUAACCCCCAUGCAUGAACGGCCUUCGACGUGAUAAUGAUCGUCGUGGCUGGAGUGUUGUUAGUGGAUGUCGCGAAGUCGGCGCUUCUAAAGACCUCGUCGAAA
RNAcentral lists this ribosomal RNA (621 nucleotides) under uncultured fungus. RNAcentral's name for it is "eukaryotic LSU rRNA". The stretch from base 247 to 401 matches the Rfam family "5.8S ribosomal RNA". The record is from RNAcentral. Lineage: Eukaryota; Fungi.